UACGUAGGGUGCGAGCGUUGUCCGGAAUUAUUGGGCGUAAAGAGCUCGUAGGCGGUUUGUCGCGUCGACUGUGAAAACCUACAGCUUAACUGUGGGCUUGCAGUCGAUACGGGCAGACUUGAGUUCGGUAGGGGAGACUGGAAUUCCUGGUGUAGCGGUGGAAUGCGCAGAUAUCAGGAGGAACACCGAUGGCGAAGGCAGGUCUCUGGGCAGUUACUGACGCUGAGGAGCGAAAGCAUGGGGAGCGAACAGG
RNAcentral lists this ribosomal RNA (253 nucleotides) under uncultured bacterium. Its description in RNAcentral is "partial 16S ribosomal RNA". It matches the Rfam family "Bacterial small subunit ribosomal RNA", at positions 524 to 776 of the family's 1533-position model. The record is from RNAcentral.